Molecule: ribosomal RNA, 996 nt
Filed under: uncultured euryarchaeote
Lineage: Archaea; Methanobacteriati; Methanobacteriota
Description: bacterial SSU rRNA
Rfam family: Archaeal small subunit ribosomal RNA
Source: RNAcentral
GCGCGAAACCUUUACAAUGCACGCAAGUUGAUAAGGGAAUUCCAAGUGCUCAUGCAUAGCAUGGGCUUUUUAGAAGAGUAAAUAUCUUCUAGAAUAAGUGGUGGGAAAGACUGGUGCCAGCAGCCGCGGUAACCCCAGCGCCACAAGUGGCAAUCGCAUUUAUUGGGUCUAAAGCGUUCGUAGUUGGUUUGAUCAAUCUCUUGUGAAAUCGUGGAGCUUAACUCUACGGCGUGCAGGAGAUAUUGUCAGGCUAGGGACCGGGAGGAGUCAGAGGUAUUUCUGAGGGAACGGUAAAAUGUUAUAAUCUCAGAAAGACCACCUGUGGCAAAGGCGUCUGACUAGAACGGAUCCGACGAUGAGGAACGAAGGCCAGGGGAGCGAACCGGAUUAGAUACCCGAGUAGUCCUGGCAGUAAACUCUGUGAGCUAGGUGUUGUAUAUCCCAUGAGGAUCUACAGUAUCGAAGCGAAGGUGAUAAGCUCACCACCUGGGGAAGUACGGUCGCAAGACUGAAACUUAAAGGAAUUGGCGGGGGAGCGCUACAAGGGGUGCGGCGUGCGGUUUAAUCUAAUUUAACGCAGAGAAUCUCACCAGAAGCGACGGCAGAAUGAUGGUCAGUCUAAGGGGCUUACCUGACGAGCCGAGAGGUAGUGCAUGGCCGCCGUCAGCUCGUGCCGUAAGGUGUCCUGUCAAGUCAGGUAACGAGCGAGACCUAUGCUUACAAUUGCCAGCAUAUCUUCGGGAUGAAUGGGCACAUUGUAGGGACUGCCUGUGAAAACAGGAGGAAGGUGUAGGCAACGGUAGGUCUGUAUGCUCCGAAUCUUCUGGGCGACACGCGCGCAACAAUGGUAAGGACAAUGGGAUACUACUCCGAAAGGAGACSUUAAACCUCGAAACCUUAUCUCAGUACAGAUCGUGGGUUGGAACUCACCCACGUGACGAUGGAAUCCCUAGUAAUCGGGCUUCAACAUAUCCCGGUGAAUAUGUCCCCGCYCCU